ACAGACCCUUUCAGUUUUCUUACAGUAAAACAUAAAUGCAACUGUAGAUCCUAAAGAAAUGCACUCAGUUUCACUGCAGUUUCUCCCAGUCUUAGCAACUGUGUCAUUUGUUUAUCACUCUGAGGAAAGACAUAUUUUUCAUCUGUCCAUUCCUUCAUACAUUGCUUCUGCCAAAGAGCCCUGGUUCUAGGAAAGCAUCUGCCUGGCUGUAGAAGGGACUUCAUAUCUAGCUCUCCAAACUCCACUCCACACAACUGAAGUCAACAUUUUCCCUUCUCUGCCGACCGAAGUCAGUGGAGCUGGUGGAACUGAGAGAACCAUUUACACUGGUGAAACUGAGAAAAGAAUUCAGUGUAGUGUAUCUGACCCCUGCUGAGUCCCUGUCCCCUUCAGCAGAGAAGAGACUUUCCUCCAUCAGCUUCUUCUCCCCUCAAAUCACCUGUGGCCAGCAUUGCAUAUGGCUGGCGAUGCAGAACAGGAUAUGAAAACACUAGAACAAAUAACAAAAGAAGCCUUGCAACUGCACAAUGGGAGCGAAAGGAUCAUUCUGAAUAUAGUCUGUGAAACAGCAGCACUGUCUACACUGAUGCCAGGUAUAAUGGCUAUAUGCUCUUACACCUUCAGUUAACAUUGGCAGCACUCCGGAUUCUACUCGUACGGAUUUCAUUCGCGGUAAUGUCAGACCCAGCCUUACAGUUAAAAAAGUGACCACAAUGUUCUGCAGUAAUAGCCCCAAACACUCCAAUAUCCCUAUAGUAAGAUGUAGUAUUUGGGCCGUUGCUGUAAAAUACUGUGACUUUUUUAAAAUGAGAGCAGCUAUGGCUCAGUGCUGUAUUAUGCUUUGUCUUUAAGACAAGGCGACCCUAAAUGAUCCCAUAUGUACUUGAAACAUUGAUCUUGUUUAAUGACACAAAUUUGCCUUCAUUAAUCCUGAAGUUCCAUAGAAUUUGCUCUAUUACUCGGUGCCACUGUGGAAACAAUAGGCCAAGUGUAAACCAGCAUUGUUCCAUUGAAAUCAACAGAAUUGUGUUGAUUUUCACCAGCUGAGGAUAAUUUCUCUGUAUAUGUUAUACCUUUCUGGCAAAAUGUGCUUAUUCUUACUCAUACAAGUAGACCUGCCACAUGAGUAAGCGGAGCAGUAUUUGGUCCCCUUUACCAUAGCUAACAUUUGCUAACACAUCAAAGAUAGUUAAAAUUACAACUGGACGGGGAAAGGUAAAUAUUUCCUGCAGAUGUUUUGGGGA
This is a long non-coding RNA of Trachemys scripta elegans, 1244 nucleotides long. RefSeq lists it as uncharacterized. Lineage: Eukaryota; Metazoa; Chordata; Testudines; Emydidae. The transcript has 4 exons. The record is from RefSeq and is a predicted model, not a curated record.